AUUGAACGCUGGCGGCAUGCUUUACACAUGCAAGUCGAACGGUAACAGGCCUUCGGGUGCUGACGAGUGGCGAACGGGUGAGUAAUGCAUCGGAACGUACCCAGAGGUGGGGGAUAACGCAGCGAAAGCUGUGCUAAUACCGCAUGUGAUCUGAGGAUGAAAGCGGGGGACCGAGCAGCAAUGUUUGGCCUCGCGCCUUUGGAGCGGCCGAUGUCGGAUUAGCUAGUUGGUGGGGUAAAGGCCUACCAAGGCGACGAUCCGUAGCUGGUCUGAGAGGACGACACGCCAAACUGGGACUGAGACACGGCCCAGACUCCUACGGGAGGCAGCAGUGGGGAAUUUUGGACAAUGGGCGCAAGCCUGAUCCAGCAAUGCCGCGUGCGGGAAGAAGGCCUUCGGGUUGUAAACCGCUUUUGGCAGGAACGAAACGGUGGCCGCUAAUACCGGGCGCUAAUGACGGUACCUGCAGAAUAAGCACCGGCUAACUACGUG
RNAcentral lists this ribosomal RNA (492 nucleotides) under uncultured bacterium. RNAcentral's name for it is "partial 16S ribosomal RNA". It matches the Rfam family "Bacterial small subunit ribosomal RNA", at positions 29 to 507 of the family's 1533-position model. The record is from RNAcentral.